UGCCCAGCAAGUCCUAUCCCUACUUGCUCGUGGUACUGGCCGGGGUACGAGCAACCUUAGGGAAGAUCUGGUAACCAACGCCGGUGGGAACUUUGGUCGUAUGCUGAUAGGGAAGG
This 116-nucleotide ribozyme is filed under the name Aedes aegypti (yellow fever mosquito). Its description in RNAcentral is "drz-agam-1 ribozyme". It matches the Rfam family "drz-agam-1 ribozyme". Lineage: Eukaryota; Metazoa; Arthropoda; Insecta; Diptera; Culicidae. The record is from Rfam by way of RNAcentral.